UACGAAGGUGGCUAGCGUUGUUCGGAAUUACUGGGCGUAAAGCGCAUGUAGGCGGAUUGGUAAGUCGGGGGUGAAAGCCCAGAGCUCAACUCUGGAACUGCCUUCGAUACUGGCGGUCUCGAGCAGAGAAGAGGCGAGUGGAAUUCCGAGUGUAGAGGUGAAAUUCGUAGAUAUUCGGAGGAACACAAGUGGCGAAGGCGGCUCGCUGGUCUCUUGCUGACGCUGAGACGCGAAAGCGUGGGGAGCAAACAGG
This 253-nucleotide ribosomal RNA is filed under the name uncultured bacterium. RNAcentral's name for it is "partial 16S ribosomal RNA". It matches the Rfam family "Bacterial small subunit ribosomal RNA", at positions 524 to 776 of the family's 1533-position model. The record is from RNAcentral.